Molecule: long non-coding RNA, 1251 nt
Organism: Cercocebus atys (sooty mangabey)
Lineage: Eukaryota; Metazoa; Chordata; Mammalia; Primates; Cercopithecidae
Exons: 2
Source: RefSeq, a predicted model, not a curated record
GGGUGCGCGGGCACAAAGGGGCCGCUGCACAUGGCAGGCAGGCGAGCAGAUGCCAGCAGACAGCUUUUGUCGUGCAGGAUCCCAGUCCUCCACCUGACCCGCUCCUGUCUGAACAUCCUGCUGCGAGUCAAGGCAAAUGGGCUCAGCCACUGUCCCACCCCAGCGGGCCUGGAGUGGACUCCCCGCGAGCCUGCAGAGGGGCAGGAUGCUGAGCGCCGGGGGUCUCACCCAGCCCCAGGGAAGAGGCGGUUUUAGUCAGUGAACCAAGAGGGGAUGAAGGGGCGAGCGCAAGCGGCCUCCUGUUCCCUCGGGAACUUGAGGGGGUGUCGGGAUGUGCUCCCCUCUCUGCACUCAGCUGGGAAAGAGCCGGUGGAGACUUUUCCCCUCUGAGCAGAGAGAGAAUUCUCCUCCCCUCCCCCGCCCCGCCUCCGUCCACUCCCACAGCCACCAGUUCUCUGGGCAACCCUAGUUAGCAGUUUGGGCCUUUCUUUCUGCACACAAUUGACGUGGAGGGCCUGAGUCUGGCCCAUUCAGACGCCACAUGGAACACUCUGUUUUUGUCACCGCGCUCUCAUCUUCUAGAAGCAUAGCCUCAUCCAACAGAAAGAGGCAAAAGCGAUCGGGCCUGACCCCUCCCAGGGACAGUGUUUGCACUUCGUUCCAUGGCACAGUGUCUUCUGUAACUUUAAGAUUUAACAUCUCAGAUUAUUUUCCACCGGGGCUCCCAUCGAUGCUGAGUUCUGGCUACUUUUUUCCCCUAACGCUGAAAGGUUCGAUUCUUCCGUCUAUCCAUCAACAAAUCGCAUUGAAUGACGCUGCUCAGUGACCCAGGAUGCCACUGGAGACAAAACACACUAUACAUAUUUUCUGGUCUCCCUGGAAAAUUAGUGCAAACACUUUCAUCACUGCGGAGAAGGGAAAUAUGCGCAGAGCUGUGAAGAUCUGCUUUGUUUUUUGUUUUUCUCAGAGGAGAUUUCCCUCCUUCACACAGUGAAAUUUAUAUUGUUCUUUGUCUGCAAAUUAACCAGUUAAGUAGAAUUCCUGUAUGUCUGUUUCCCUUUCUGCAAGCCACGGCUCCUCUUUCUCUCCACCCUGUAUCCACACAUAGUCCAGGGUCACCCCGUCCCCCACAAUGCUGCUUGAAAUUUCGUUCCAUUUUCGUCCUGACUUGUUCAAAGUAACAUUGAAAAUAUUUUAAUUCAAACUCCUGUCUCAUCAGUCCUUUUUAAGUUCCAUUUUAAAGAAUCUUUU